This 3740-nucleotide long non-coding RNA is filed under the name Homo sapiens (human). Lineage: Eukaryota; Metazoa; Chordata; Mammalia; Primates; Hominidae. The record is from RNAcentral.
AUGCACUCCGUCCUGCCGCCCAGUGAAAAAGGUGCCUGCUUCUCCUUUGCCUUCCCCUGUGACUGUAACUUUCCUGAGGCCUCCCCAGCCAUGCGGAACUAUUUUAUAGAUGGCAAAACAGUCUUAGAGGUGAACUAUCUUGGCCAAGAUCAGAAAAUUGGUACGCAGAGGACCCAAAACUUCUAACAGAGGAAAGUCAGAGCAGAGAGGAGAGAAUCACAUGGCAUUUUUUCCUGAUAAUUCUAGAGGGAAGGAGCAUUACCACCACCAUGUAAGCGAAUGCGAAACUGCUCUCUUCAGAUCUCGAGGCACAGCUGUCAAGGGUUUUAUCAUGCUGUUGCCAUUUGUCAGGCAUGCUGGCCACCCAGCAUCUGAGCCUCUUCCUAUGGAUGGGAAAUGGUCCACUCUUGAGGAAAAGCAAGUGGCCCAGACGAGGGGCUGAAAGCACCAGAAACUUGCUCUCCCAGCCUCUCCUGCAUCUGCUGGUGACAACCUCGGAGCACAGACAUUACGGGGAAAUGGGGCCCGGCUAGCAGGGCCUGGCUAACCAGUGUCCUCCAAACCUGGUUCUCCACCUUCCCAGAGACACUGUGACCCAGUCAGAAUCCUUACAAUAAUUUUUCUGUGCAGAUCACACAGGUAGUGUGUAACAAGCCCUUUGACUUAGCAGGCUUAUUUUACCCAUUACUCAUAUUUUGAAUAUGAGUAAUUUUGAAUUUCAUCCAUUCUUCUCACACAUGAAUGCACCCUUCAGACAAUACACCCACUGUGGACACACUGAGUACAAGGAGAGACUGUUACUGUGGACACCAUAUGUUUCCAUAUUGUUUACAUCUUUUUUCAUUUUUUCUUUUUUUUUCAUUUUAGAGACAAGUCUUGCUGUCACCCAGGCUGGAGUACAGUGGUAUGAUCAUAGCUCACUGCAGUCUUAACCUGCUAGGUUCAGGCGAUCCGCUCGCCUCAGCCUCCUGAGUAGCUGGGACUACAAGCACGCACCACCACGCCCAAAUAACUUUUUGAUUUUUUGUAAAAGUAGGGUCCUGCUAUGUUGCUCAGGCUGGUCUCGAACUCCUGGCCUCAAGUGAUCCUUCCACCUCAGCCUCCCAAAGUGCUGGGAGCCUGAAGCGUGAGCCACCGUGCCCGGCCUCUCUGGUUUUGUUUUCUAUUGAUCACAAUUAACUUUGGGAAUUACAGGGAAAAGCAUUCUUUGCCAAAACCAAACUUCUUUAGCCCAUUCAAUAAUGACUAUCAGAAGAAUGACUAACAUUUAUUGAAUGCUUAUUAAAUACCAGGCUCUCUUCUGAGAGCGUCAUGAAUUAACUAUCUUCACCACGAGUCUGUGAGGCACGUCUCACAGUGAGCAGCGGAGAGCUAAGGGGACAGCGCAGACCCAGAGGCCAUGCUCUUACACACAACCUCAAUAUCACACCACAUUAACAAGCAAUCCUCUCCAUAAGCAAAGAAACAAAUGUGAUAAAGAAAAUUCUCCUCUCCCUCUCCCUCCCUCCCCCUCCCUCCCUCCCUCUCUCCCUCUCCCUCUCCCUCCUCUCCCUCUCCCCAUGGUCUCCCGCUCCCCACGGUCUCCCUCUCCCUCUCUUUCCACGGUCUCCCUCUGAUGCUGAGCCGAAGCUGGACUGUACUGCUGCCAUCUCGGCUCACUGCAACCUCCCUGCCUGAUUCUCCUGCCUCAGCCUGCCGAGUGCCUGCGAUUGCAGGCGCGCACCGCCACGCCUGACUGGUUUUCGUAUUUUUUUGGUGGAGACGGGGUUUCGCUGUGUUGGCCGGGCUGGCCUCCAGCUCCUAACCGCGAGUGGUCCGCCAGCCUCGGCCUCCAGAGGUGCUGGGAUUGCAGACAGUGUCUGGUUCACUCAGUGCUCAAUGGUGCCCAGGCUGGAGUGCAGUGGCGUGAUCUCGGCUCGCUACAACCUCCACCUCCCAGCUGCCUGCCUUGGCCUCCCAAAGUGCCCAGAGUGCAGCCUCUGCCCGGCCGCCACCCCGUCUAGGAAGUGAGGAGCGUCUCUGCCUGGCCGCCCAUCGUCUGGGAUGUUAGGAGCCCCUCUGCCUGGCUGCCGAGUCUGGAAAGUGAGGAGCGUCUCUGCCUGGCCGCCAUCCCAUCUAGGAAGUGAGGAGCACCUCUUCCCGGCUGCCAUCCCAUCUAGGAAGUGAGGAGCGUCUCUGCCCAGCCGCCCAUCGUCUGAGAUGUGGGGAGUGCCUUUGCCCCGACGCCCCGUCUGGGAUGUGAGGAGCGCCUCUGCCCGGUCGCGACCCCGUCUGGGAGGUGAGGAGCGUCUCUGCCCAGCCGCCCCAUCUGAGAAGGGAGGAGACCCUCCGCCUGGCAACCGCCCCGUCUGAGAAGUGAGGAGACCCUCCGCCCGGCAGCCGCCCCGUCUGAGAAGUGAGGAGCCCCUCCGCCCAGCAGCCACCCCGUCUGGGAAGUGAGGAGCGUCUCCGCCCAGCAGCCGCCCCGUCCAGGAGGGAGGUGGGGGUCAGCCCGCCAGGCCAGCCGUCCCGUCUGGGAGGGAGGUGGGGGGGUCAGCCCCCUGCCCGGCCAGCCGCCCCGUCCGGGAGGGAGGUGGGGGGGGUCAGCCCCCGGCCCGGCCAGCCGCCCCGUCCGGGAGGUGAGGGGCACCUCUGCCCGGCCGCCCCUACUGGGAAGUGAGGAGCCCCUCUGCCCAGCCAGCCGCUCCAUCCGGGAGGGAGGUGGGGGGGUCAGCCCCCCGCCCGGCCAGCCGCCCCGUCCGGGAGGGAGGUGGGGGGGGUCAGCCCCCCCACCCGGCCAGCCGCCCCGUCCAGGAGGUGAGGGGCGCCUCUGCCCGGCUGCCCCUACUGGGAAGUGAGGAGCCCCUGUGCCCGGCCAGCCACCUCAUCCGGGAGGGAGAUGGGGGGGUCAGCCCCCCGCCCGGCCAGCCGCCCCAUCCGGGAGGGAGGUGGGGGGGGUCAGCCCCCCGCCCAGCCAGCCGCCCCAUCCGGGAGGGAGGUGGGGGGGUCAGCCCCUCGCCCGGCCAGCCACCCCGUCCGGGAGGGAGGUGGGGGGGUCAGCCCCUCGCCCGGCCAGCCACCCCGUCCGGGAGGGAGGUGGGGGGGUCAGCCCCCCGCCCGGCCAGCCGCCCCACCCAGGAGGUGAGGAGCGCCUCUGCCCGGCCGCCCCUACUGGGAAGUAAGGAGCCCCUCUGCCCGGCCACCACCCCGUCUGGGAGGUGUACCCAACAGCUCAUUGAGAACGGGCCAGGAUGACAAUGGCGGUUUUGUGGAAUAGAAAGCGGGGAAAGGCGGGGAAAAGAUUGAGAAAUCGGAUGGUUGCCAUGUCUGUGUGGAAAGAAGUAGACAUGGGAGACUUGUCAUUUUGUUCUGUACUAAGAAAAAUUCUUCUGCCUUGGGAUCCUGUUGAUCUGUGACCUUACCCCCCAACCCUGUGCUCUCUGAAACAUGUGCUGUGUCCACUCAGGGUUAAAUGGAUUAAGGGCAGUGCAAGAUGUGCUUUGUUAAACAGAUGCUUGAAGGCAGCAUGCUCGUUAAGAGUCAUCACCACUCCCUAAUCUCAAGUACCCAGGGACACAAACACUGCGGAAGGCCACAGGGACCUCUGCCUAGGAAAACCAGAGACCUUUGUUCACUUGUUUAUCUGCUGACCUUCCUUCCACUAUUGUCCUAUGACCCUGCCAAAUCCCUCUCUGUGAGAAACACCCAAGAAUGAUCAAUAAAAAUAAAAAUUAAAAAAAAAAAAAGAAAGAAAAUUCUCA